UAUUUUAAAAUCGCCACACACCCAAAACUGCCAAAAGCCCACCCAAAACACUCAAAGCUCAUAUCAAAGACGCAAACUAGGGCCGGCUUCGAGUGAGAGGGAGAGUGAACAAGCCAAACGGAGCGAAACCCUAAAUUGUAGUCAUCGUCGCCGUCGCCAUGGCCACUGCCACCAUCACAGCGAUUCAUCUCCUUGCCGCUAGCGCCAAUGCCACCACGUACUUUGACAAUCUCUUUUCUCAUUGUUUCUUCCGUCGGCGCGUCUCUUGAGGUUACGACAUGGAAGGAAUUCGGUUCAGACACUAUUGAAAUUUCGGGAAAACAAAGCUAAUGUCUGAUAACAUGAUUAAGUGGAGGAAGGAGUUCAGUUUGGAAACUAUUGUAGAGGACUUUGAUUUCAAGAAAACAAUGAAGUGAUAAUCCUUCUCUAAGCCUUAGACUACAGCAAAAGUUCAUGAGCGGAAUGAGAGGUUGUUUUACAAGCUUCUGAUUGAUAAUAACAUGGAGGAUCUGCUUCCUGUUGUUUACAUUCCAACUAUUGGAGAAGCCUGUCAGAAAUAUGGAAGCAUUUUCGUUGACUGCAAGGUCUAUGUGUCAGUUUGAAAGUGAAGUAUGCAUCAGUUUCAAAGUGAAAAUGGAUGAGAUUCAGAAAUAGAAACGGAAAACUGAAAAGAAGGUAGGAUUAGGAAUGUGUGAGGUUUGCUGUGGUUUGCAACACCCUUAUGUGAUGGUCCCCAACUUCCUCUCCCCUGAAGAAUGCAAGGUUGAAAGACAAGCUAGAGGAGUUUUUCAACUGUCAAUAUGAGCUCUUUGUUGAAUUCACCGCUCUAAUCAGCUGGAGCAGAGGUGCAAGCAUUGAGUGGCAUAGUGAUGAUAACAGACCCUACCUCAAACAGCGGCACUUUGCAGUCCGGAUUCCACUUUUCACUACUCCUCUCUUUUAUUGAAUUUUAUUUAAUACUGUUGCUAACAACUUUUGUUCAUCAAAGGUGGUGUGCUAUUUAAAUAAUUAUGGCAAAGAUUUCAAUGGUGGACUCUUUGGUUUUCAGGAUGGCCAGCCAAUAUCAAUUAUACCAUGGCUAGAGAUGUUCUGAUGUAUACUACUGACCAGCGUAAAUGAGGUAUAUUUAAUUGUGCUCCUUUCUUGCAUGCUCUUAUUUGGCCUUGUACAUAAUCAGCUGUUUUAUUUCGAUAUAAAUCUCCUUCUCCCAGACUCCCGGAUUCCCUGUUUUAUUUCAACCAAAAAUAGAGAAGAGUCAAGUUCCCCUUAUCAGUCAAUUAACUUUGAUUAAUUAAUUAAUUAAUUGGGAGCAGUAGCUAAUUAGCUAUCACACAUCAUUAUUAUUUUAAAAUAUGUUGGUUGGGGAGAUGUCACUCAAUGUUAAAACUUAAUUAAUCCCAAUAUCAUCCUAUGAUCUUAAUCUUAUCUCCAAGUUUGGACCGAGUAUUCAUUGUACUUUGCACUCCAAAAGGGAAAAAGUAAAAUGCUUUCACUUUUCUUUUCUUUUUUUUUUCAACAAAAAGAAAUCUACUAUUACAUUUCUUGUUCUAUAAAAUGCAAAUGUCAACAGCACGCUAUGCAAGUGUCAACACUUAUCUUGGAAUUGGUGAGUACUACUUUUGUACAGUUUAUUCAAUUCUUUCUUUUUCUUUUCCCUGUUGAUAAUAAAUUAGAAAUGGGUUAUUACAUAUAGUAUUGAACGUUUCUAAUUAUCUUAUUGUACUUUACUUUUCUGGCAGAACAAAGCAGAAGGGAUGAUCUGGAAUCUCUUGGCUAUGUGCUCAUGUACUUCUUAAGGGGAAGACAUGGGAUCAAGAACUUCGCUUUUCCAUGGUUGAUGGAGACUUUAAGAAGUUUGAUGGCAAAUGCCUAAUGCAAUAGAAAAUGGUCCCUAUGAUUAUACCAGAAGUGGAAAUCCCACUCGAGAUGCUUCAGAAAGGUUGAUGAAUGCAUUUUUUGGUUAAGCAUUAUAUUCUCAAUCAACACAACGAUGCACUGUUUCAGCGAGCGCAAUUAAAAUUCCAUGUUUCAAUCCAUAGCCAAGAGAUUGAACCUCAACUUUUAUCCGGAAAGAAUGUUAUGAUCGCUGCCCAUAGAAACUUCCUGAGAUCCAUUAUCUUGUAUCUCGACAAGUUAACUUCCCAAAAGAUUUCUGCUAGCAGAAGAACUGAAGCUACCAAAUUUGCCCAAUUAUGGAAUGAAAUUAUUUGCAGUUUUCGUGAGGAAGAUGUCAUUAGUGAUAGGCAAGGCCUCAAAGAAAAUGUCUUUACUUGCUCUUACCUGCCUUCUAUUACUUUCUCCUUGAUUCUUAUGUUUAAUUUAAUUAUGUUCCAGAAAUUGAUUGUUUCUAUUUUAUGCAUCUAUAUGGGGAUUGACCUCUUGUUAUUUUAUUUUACUUUUUAAAGAAAAACAGUAAUAGUUAUGUAGAACAAUACCAUAUGGAAUUAUGUUUGGAACUAUUGACAUUGAGAAUUUUUUUAUAUAUAAAGUUAUGUCUUAUAUUAUUGAGGAAUUGUCUUAUAAAAGAUUUAGUUUUUAAUUUGAGAAUAUGUAAAUGAGAUGAGAUUAAUGAAUGAUUUGAAAUUUAAAAUAAAUAAAUAAUUACAGGAUUUGUGGAGGUUUGAAAAUCCCACAAAAUAGUUAAUUUUUGUUAAAUAAAAAAAUUAAUUUGUGGGGGUUUUAAAACGUCACAAAAGUACAAUAUAAAACCCCCACUAAACAUACACAAAACCUCCACUGAAUAGAUUGUGGAGGUUUUUGAAAACCCCCUACAAAAGACCUCGUGGCACCUCAAAUUUUGGGGGUUUUGGAAACCCCAUAAACCAUUUGGUGGGGGUUAUAAACCUCCACAAAUAGGAGAAAAAACCUCCACAAAUAAACAAAAAUCUUGUAGUGAGUUGAACUGUUUGUCUGCUUUGUUUUGACUGGUAGGGUCAAUACGAAGGAGAGGCUAAGUCAGUUGGGAGUUAUCCACCAGGAAGAUGUUGUAUGUGUGCUUUGCAACAAGAGUAUUGAAUAUGAUCACCACUUGUUC
Molecule: long non-coding RNA, 3034 nt
Organism: Arachis stenosperma
Lineage: Eukaryota; Viridiplantae; Streptophyta; Magnoliopsida; Fabales; Fabaceae
Exons: 12
Source: RefSeq, a predicted model, not a curated record